GUGUUGCCAGAGUAGACUCUGUAGAGUUCUUCCUUCUUCAAGUCACUGUAUUUAAUUCAAACACGAGCUGGUGCAUCCUGCAGGCAGAGCCUACAGCUUGAGCCAAUGUACUGGUUUCAGGAGAAGCAAGGGAGAAACUGUCUAUUUCAUCCCAGAGUGGGAGAAUGUCACCUGUGGCAUCACAUGCAGAAGAUUCCAGAUUCUGGAUUCUUUUGCGUUUGCUUUAGUUCUGCUAAAGUCUCCUGUGUAUGAUCCUCAGAAAGACAUAUGAGGGUUUUCCUCAGAACCUAAAUUCUAAACUGCCAGACUGUCUUCUGAAGUGGCUAUAAUAUUUACACUCCCAUCAGCAGUGUAGAAGGGGUCUCACUAUGUUGUCUGGAGUGCUGUGGUGGAGUGGAGUGGCUAUUCACAGAGCCUGUUCUGCUGGGACACAGAAUCACUUGCUCCAUCUCAUACAUUGAUGAUGAUUAAUUUGUAUGUGUACCUUCCAAAAAAGAUGGUUGUGUUUGAAUGGAGGCCUUCUGGACAGGAAAAUUGCAAAGUACAAUUAACAUUUGAGUCUGUCUGAGUCAUGAAGAAAUGGAGAUUACUGAAAAUAAUUCAUUUUGGUAUCUUCUUACAUCCUGAGAGACUAAUCUUUCCAAGUUCAUCUGAGGCUCCUCUUCUCCAUGACAACCUCAUCCAGGGAUUUCUUCCUGUCCUGGUGUUUUAUGACAUAAUCACAUCCUUCCUGAGAUAAUGAGCACACAAUUGCCUGGAUACCUGAAGGAAUGGAGACAGCGGCAGAAAACACUGCAGAGAGGUGGAAACAUCCGUUAAUAUUUUAAAAUCCCAUUACUGCUACCAACAAUAAUAAUGGAUGCAUAGAAAUAGAUCUGGAUUAGCUGAGCUUGAAACAGUCCAUCUCACACACACACAAAAGAAUUUCAGAUACAGUGAACCCACAUGUUGAAGCUUUCUAGUAUAAUAAAAAUUUCAACUGUUCUGUUGAAUCAUCUGCCUGAUUGGAGGCUACAGAAAAGAUGUCAUCUUAGGAGUGCUUGCUCUGAGUGAGGCUCAUCUUCAAAUCUGAAUGACCACAAGGAGAUUUGAUUAUACAUGUGAACACCUCAGAAGGCACAGCCCACCCAGAAGGCAGACAGGUCAGGCUGCUUUUUCUUCAUUGCUUGGAUUCAAUCCUCCGGGCGGCUCAGGCUCAAACAUAACUUAAGCAUGAUUAAACUUUAGAAGAAGCUGCCAGGAAGACUGUGAAAUCUUCAUGCCCAAGGAUCCCUAAAAUUAGGAGCAACAACCACUUGGCUCAGACGGUUUAUGGAGGCAAAGGUUUGGAUGGGAUUAGAGAUUUCUAAAUGUGAGUUCGUGUCCUCUGCCAGACCACCUUACUUCCACCAUUCCUCAGCAAAUCAAGAAAAACAGGAGAAAAGACAUGCCUUUCCAUAAGUUAAAUCUAUUCUGUUUUAAUUCUAUAUUAUAUCUGCUGUACAACUUCUUUUGUUUGUAACACCAUAUUGUUGCUAGUAACUGGAAAUUAAUUUUCACAUGCCUCAGCUUAGAAAAAUAAAAAGCAGCCCUGCAUCAAUCCCAA
Long non-coding RNA from Homo sapiens (human), 1585 nucleotides. Ensembl annotates it as long intergenic non-protein coding RNA 635. The record is from Ensembl. NCBI's taxonomy places the organism in Eukaryota, Metazoa, Chordata, Mammalia, Primates, Hominidae.